GGGGUGGAGCCCUGAGGAUCAGUGAGGAGCGGGGCCCCCAGGCAAGCUGGCUUUGACCGAGCAGGGCUCACCUGCAGCCCACAGAGCCCUCCUGGCUGCGUGUGGGAGCUGUGGGUCUCAACGUCCGUCCCCCUACUGACUUCCCAGGACCUUCCCUCCGGUUUCAAGCUGGCUUCCUGCCUGGAGUCGAGAGCUGAGGUCUCCAGGUGCCAGGCCUCAUCCGACUAUUUCUGGCCAGCCCCUUCCCACUGGCUCUCCUGGAACCCUGUCACCCAACACAUCCUGACAUGUCCUCGGUCUCCAUUUCCACGGCGACAGUGGAGAAGCGCACAUGGGAGGUUCCACAGAAUGCCCCACAGUCACUUUCCUUGCAACUUGGAGCUGGGACACGUAGAUUUACGGCCACAGACUCACUCCGAAAUACUCGUCUGCCAAAGAAACAUCUUCCGUUGAGGAGACCUUCUCACAGUUGUGAAGUUCACUUGUUUUCAAAAUCGACACAGACUUGCACGCCACAGCCAAAAGGAAAGGGACAGAGCCUGGGGAGUCAGGACGGCCUGGCGGAGGCAGGAGGAUGCCUGGGGCCUGGACUUGUGCCCUGUCCACAAUGUCUCUUGGCGCUGGAGCAGCUCGGGCUGUCCCUCAGUGUCCCGCCCUCGGCCUCCCCCCAAGGACUCAUAAAUGAGAAGAACGCCAUCCACGUAGAGGAAGUGUGCCUUGGUCAGCUUGAUGUGGAAUAUCAUAUUCAUAAGACAGAUGGAAGGAUGCGAGGUAAUAAAAUAUCCAGACAGCUGGACAGAGAAACGCUGGAGGUAAAGAUGAC
This 823-nucleotide long non-coding RNA is filed under the name Equus asinus (donkey). Its description in RNAcentral is "lncRNA (ENSEASG00005034178.1)". Lineage: Eukaryota; Metazoa; Chordata; Mammalia; Perissodactyla; Equidae. The record is from RNAcentral.